AMUGCAAGUCGAACGGCAGCACAGCAGAGCUUGCUCUGUGGGUGGCGAGUGGCGGACSCGCYUGAGGAAUACAUGGGAAUCUGCCCAGUCGUGGGGGAUAACGUAUGGAAACGUACGCUAAUACCGCAUGCGCCCUACGGGGGAAAGCCGGGGACCGCAAGGCCUGGCGCGAUUGGAUGAGCUCAUGUUCGAUUAGCUAGUUGGCGGGGUAAAGGCCCACCAAGGCGACGAUCGAUAGCUGGUCUGAGAGGAUGAUCAGCCACACUGGAACUGAGACACGGUCCAGACUCCUACGGGAGGCAGCAGUAGGGAAUAUUGGACAAUGGGGGCAACCCUGAUCCAGCCAUGCCGCGUGAGUGAAGAAGGCCCUCGGGUUGUAAAGCUCUUUUGUCCGGAAAGAAAAGCAAUCGGUUAAUACCCGGUUGUUCUGACGGUACCGGAAGAAUAAGCACCGGCUAACUUCGUGCCAGCAGCCGCGGUAAUACGAAGGGUGCAAGCGUUACUCGGAAUUACUGGGCGUAAAGCGUGCGUAGGUGGUUCGUUAAGUCUGAUGUGAAAGCCCUGGCUCAACCUGGGAAUGGCAUUGGAUACUGGCGGGCUAGAGUGCGGUAGAGGGUAGUGGAAUUCUCGGUGUAGCAGUGAAAUGCGUAGAGAUCGGGAGGAACAUCUGUGGCGAAGGCGACUGCCUGGACCAGCACUGACACUGAGGCACGAAAGCGUGGGGAGCAAACAGGAUUACAUACCCCUGGUAGUCCACGCCCCUGAACGAUGCGAACUGGAUGUUGGGUUCCAACUUUGGAACUCAGUAUCGAARSCUAACGCGUUAAAGUUUCGCCCGCUCUGGGGGAGUA
Molecule: ribosomal RNA, 851 nt
Filed under: uncultured Gammaproteobacteria bacterium
Lineage: Bacteria; Pseudomonadati; Pseudomonadota; Gammaproteobacteria
Description: bacterial SSU rRNA
Rfam family: Bacterial small subunit ribosomal RNA
Source: RNAcentral